AGCAGCGUGGCUCAGUGGAUAGAGCAUGGGCCUGGGAAUCAGAAGGACCUGGGUUUUAAUCCCAGCUCUGCCA
Non-coding RNA from Ornithorhynchus anatinus (platypus), 73 nucleotides. The record is from Rfam. Lineage: Eukaryota; Metazoa; Chordata; Mammalia; Monotremata; Ornithorhynchidae.